UGCCCGGUGGUGUAACUGGUAACACACGAGACUUUGGAUCUCGCUAUCCAGGUUCGAGCCCUGGCUGGGCAG
Molecule: transfer RNA, 72 nt
Filed under: Candidatus Omnitrophota bacterium
Lineage: Bacteria; Pseudomonadati; Candidatus Omnitrophota
Description: tRNA-Gln
Rfam family: tRNA
About the family: Transfer RNA (tRNA) molecules are approximately 80 nucleotides in length. Their secondary structure includes four short double-helical elements and three loops (D, anti-codon, and T loops).
Source: RNAcentral